Molecule: unclassified non-coding RNA, 716 nt
Filed under: Hevea brasiliensis (rubber tree)
Lineage: Eukaryota; Viridiplantae; Streptophyta; Magnoliopsida; Malpighiales; Euphorbiaceae
Source: RNAcentral
GGUAUUCCCUUCCUUCGCGUACGGCUUGGCCGCCAACGCCUAGCCACCGGAACACUCUCGCCACUUCGGCACCCGUGGAGCUCUACGGCAGACCCAACUAAGGUGGACGAGGAAGUAUCCACUGCCGGAACGGAAAGACUACGGCAGUGAGCGCGCGGGACCCGCCCAAGUACCCCAGGUGGGAUGAUCCUGAUUACCGGAAGUGGAAAGACAAGGAAGAAGAGAUUCUGAGAGAUAUAGAGGCCAUUGUUACCCUCACCAAAGAAAUUCUCCACUCUGACAGGUAUUUGGAUGGAGAACAUCUAACAGCUGAAGAUGAGAAAGCUGUGGUAGAAAACCUUCUCACUUACCAUCCAAAUUCUGAAGAUAAAAUUGGAUGUGGGCUUGACUCAAUAAUGGUUGAUCGCCACCCCCAGUUUAGACAUUCAAGAUGCCUUUUUGUUGUGAGAACUGACGGUGGAUGGAUAGACUUUUCCUAUCAUAAGUGCCUGCGGGCAUAUAUUCGAGAUAAGUAUCCACUGCAUGCAGAAAGAUUUAUUCGAGAACAUUUUAAGCGUGGCAGUUAAUGAUGUGUAUUAAUGCUGAUGCCUACAUUUGAACUCAGUUACAAUUUUGGCAUUGGUAGCGAUGAUUGUGAUACAAAUAUUUUAAAUAUAUGUUUGGUAUUUUAUUAAUUCUCAAUUAUCAAUUAUAUCAUAAUAAUAGUCUUUAAUAAU